CCUACGGGCGGCAGCAGUGAGGAAUAUUGGUCAAUGGACGAGAGUCUGAACCAGCCAAGUAGCGUGAAGGAUGACUGCCCUACGGGUUGUAAACUUCUUUUAUAAAGGAAUAAAACGAGGCACGUGUGCCUUUUUGCAUGUACUUUAUGAAUAAGGAUCGGCUAAUUCCGUGCCAGCAGCCGCGGUAAUACGGAGGAUCCGAGCGUUAUCCGGAUUUAUUGGGUUUAAAGGGAGCGUAGAUGGAUUGGUAAGCCAGUUGUGAAAGUUUGGGGCUCAACCGGAAAAUUGCAAGUGAUACUGGCAGUCUUGAGUACGGUUGAGGUAGGCGGAAUGCGUGGUGUAGCGGUGAAAUGCUUAGAUAUGACGAAGAACCCCGAUUGCGAAGGCAGCUUACUAAACUGUGACUGACAUUGAUGCUCGAAAGUGUGGGUAUCAAACAGGAUUAGAUACCCGAGUAGUC
This 460-nucleotide ribosomal RNA is filed under the name uncultured bacterium. Its description in RNAcentral is "partial 16S ribosomal RNA". It matches the Rfam family "Bacterial small subunit ribosomal RNA", at positions 338 to 795 of the family's 1533-position model. The record is from RNAcentral.